This 25-nucleotide non-coding RNA is filed under the name Rattus norvegicus (Norway rat). The record is from RNAcentral. Lineage: Eukaryota; Metazoa; Chordata; Mammalia; Rodentia; Muridae.
UGGUUUGUGCCUAAGCCACCUCCCU